UCCAAAAUGGGACCGAAUCCAAUCUGUUCAGGCUUAUAACUUUUGCCUAUAAACCCUAAAUGCAUUCCUGCAAAUGGUGCACCUUUACUUUGUCUCCGCCGCCUAACUAAGAAGAAAAAAUGGCUGAUCAACAGUAUUGUACCUCUCGUGUUCGGCCUGAACAUGAUCCCAUGGCUAUGGAGGUUCAGUCAAUGUCUCUUGGUUCUUGAAGAAGCAAGUUAGUGCUACACGAAGUGUUGGCCAUAAUUUCUCAGGAAUCAAGAGGAGACUUCUCCCACAGUGAAAUGAUAUUCUAACUUGCUCAAAAGAUUGUACUUCUGAUAGUGAUUGCACUGACUGCUGGUUUUGUUGUCGAUUUGAUGUGUCUAUUAUAUCAUGUGUAUUUUAGGGUAGUCGCAAAUAGAACAUCCAUUUAAUUGCGACGAACUUUGCAACACAUCCCUGUUAUUCAUUUGUGUCUCCGUUUGAUUCU
Molecule: non-coding RNA, 472 nt
Organism: Nicotiana tabacum (common tobacco)
Lineage: Eukaryota; Viridiplantae; Streptophyta; Magnoliopsida; Solanales; Solanaceae
Source: RefSeq, a predicted model, not a curated record